This 465-nucleotide ribosomal RNA is filed under the name Vreelandella stevensii. RNAcentral describes it as "partial 16S ribosomal RNA". It matches the Rfam family "Bacterial small subunit ribosomal RNA", at positions 338 to 795 of the family's 1533-position model. Lineage: Bacteria; Pseudomonadati; Pseudomonadota; Gammaproteobacteria; Oceanospirillales; Halomonadaceae. The record is from RNAcentral.
CCUACGGGUGGCAGCAGUGGGGAAUAUUGGACAAUGGGGGGAACCCUGAUCCAGCCAUGCCGCGUGUGUGAAGAAGGCCCUCGGGUUGUAAAGCACUUUCAGUGAGGAAGAACGCCUGGUGGUUAAUACCCAUCAGGAAAGACAUCACUCACAGAAGAAGCACCGGCUAACUCCGUGCCAGCAGCCGCAGUAAUACGGAGGGUGCGAGCGUUAAUCGGAAUUACUGGGCGUAAAGCGCGCGUAGGUGGCUUGAUAAGCCGGUUGUGAAAGCCCCGGGCUCAACCUGGGAACGGCAUCCGGAACUGUCAAGCUAGAGUGCAGGAGAGGAAGGUAGAAUUCCCGGUGUAGCGGUGAAAUGCGUAGAGAUCGGGAGGAAUACCAGUGGCGAAGGCGGCCUUCUGGACUGACACUGACACUGAGGUGCGAAAGCGUGGGUAGCAAACAGGAUUAGAUACCCCAGUAGUC